This 254-nucleotide ribosomal RNA is filed under the name uncultured bacterium. RNAcentral's name for it is "partial 16S ribosomal RNA". It matches the Rfam family "Bacterial small subunit ribosomal RNA", at positions 524 to 776 of the family's 1533-position model. The record is from RNAcentral.
UACGUAGGGUGCAAGCGUUGUCCGGAAUUAUUGGGCGUAAAGAGCUCGUAGGUGGCCUGUCGCGUCGGCUGUGAAAACUCGGGGCUCAACUCCGAGCUUGCAGUCGAUACGGGCAGGCUAGAGUUCGGCAGGGGAGACUGGAAUUCCUGGUGUAGCGGUGAAAUGCGUAGAUAUCUGGAGGAACACCGGUGGCGAAGGCGGCAUCCUGGACCAUUACUGACGCUGAGUGAGCGAAAGCCAGGGGAGCAAACGGG